RNAcentral lists this ribosomal RNA (778 nucleotides) under uncultured bacterium. RNAcentral describes it as "bacterial SSU rRNA". It matches the Rfam family "Bacterial small subunit ribosomal RNA", at positions 62 to 824 of the family's 1533-position model. The record is from RNAcentral.
UCGACGUGAAGUCCUUCGGGACGAGUAAAGUGGCGCACGGGUGAGUAACGCGUGGAUAAUCUACCCUUAAGAUGGGGAUAACGGCUGGAAACGGUCGCUAAUACCGAAUACGCUCCCGAUUUUAUCGUUGGGGGGAAAGAUGGCCUCUGCCUGCAAGCUAUCGCUUAAGGAUGAGUCCGCGUCCCAUUAGCUAGUUGGCGGGGUAACGGCCCACCAAGGCAACGAUGGGUAGCCGGUCUGAGAGGAUGACCGGCCACACUGGAACUGGAACACGGUCCAGACUCCUACGGGAGGCAGCAGUGGGGAAUAUUGCGCAAUGGGCGAAAGCCUGACGCAGCGACGCCGCGUGAGGGAUGAAGGUUCUCGGAUCGUAAACCUCUGUCAGGGGGGAAGAAACCCCCUCGUGUGAAUAAUGCGAGGGCUUGACGGUACCCCCAAAGGAAGCACCGGCUAACUCCGUGCCAGCAGCCGCGGUAAUACGGAGGGUGCAAGCGUUAAUCGGAAUCACUGGGCGUAAAGCGCACGUAGGCGGCCUGGUAAGUCAGGGGUGAAAUCCCACAGCCCAACUGUGGAACUGCCUUUGAUACUGCCAGGCUUGAGUACCGGAGAGGGUGGCGGAAUUCCAGGUGUAGGAGUGAAAUCCGUAGAUAUCUGGAGGAACACCGGUGGCGAAGGCGGCCACCUGGACGGUAACUGACGCUGAGGUGCGAAAGCGUGGGUAGCAAACAGGAUUAGAUACCCUGGUAGUCCACGCUGNUAACGAUGGGUGCUGGGUGNU